UACGUAGGUGGCAAGCGUUGUCCGGAAUUAUUGGGCGUAAAGCGCGCGCAGGCGGCCUCUUAAGUCUGAUGUGAAAGCCCCCGGCUCAACCGGGGAGGGCCAUUGGAAACUGGGAGGCUUGAGUAUAGGAGAGAAGAGUGGAAUUCCACGUGUAGCGGUGAAAUGCGUAGAGAUGUGGCGGAACACCAGUGGCGAAGGCGACUCUUUGGCCUAUGAACUGACGCUGAGGCGCGAAAGCGUGGGGAGCAAACAGG
Molecule: ribosomal RNA, 254 nt
Filed under: uncultured bacterium
Lineage: Bacteria
Description: partial 16S ribosomal RNA
Rfam family: Bacterial small subunit ribosomal RNA
Source: RNAcentral